CCUAAUUUGAACACCUUCGGUA
This 22-nucleotide microRNA is filed under the name Homo sapiens (human). Its description in RNAcentral is "hsa-miR-4735-5p". The record is from miRBase by way of RNAcentral. Lineage: Eukaryota; Metazoa; Chordata; Mammalia; Primates; Hominidae.